Long non-coding RNA from Rhododendron vialii, 2294 nucleotides. RefSeq lists it as uncharacterized. Lineage: Eukaryota; Viridiplantae; Streptophyta; Magnoliopsida; Ericales; Ericaceae. The transcript is spliced from 2 exons. The record is from RefSeq and is a predicted model, not a curated record.
CCCUCUUCUUCUUCCUUCUUCUAGUUCCUCUCCCCUCUCUCUCUAGUACUUCAUCUUCUCUUUCUCUCUCUAAAAACCCUAACUAGGGUUUGUGCUGAAAACUGGUUCUCUCUGUGUUCUUCCACAGCUUUCUUGAACUGCACCAUCACUAGUCAAGUUCUGGGAUUUUUUCCCUUUCUUGAGUUGGGUAUGGCUAAAAAUUGAUGCGGUUCACUAAAGCUGUGGAAAGAUACAGAGAGGGCCAAAGAAAAUCCAAGAUCUGAUUAUCAUUCGGCAGCAUCUGCUAUUUGCAUGAUGGACCACAAGGGCAGCCAUAUGGUAUGGCCACCAUCUUAGGUUUACAAGUGUUAAAGCCAUUGAUAUGGGAGAAAAAAAAGAGAUGGAGAAAAAUGAAGGUUAGGUAAAGUUCCUUUUUAAUGAAAACCUUGAUGAAUUACAUAUCUGAAAUUACGAGUCACAAUUUGGGCGCUUUCUUUUGAAAAGAAAUACACUUUUAAGGCCGAAUUCUAGAUUUCUUUUUUCCAUAUGUAAUGUUUCAUUUUCUAAAGGGGAGACGCUACAAUAUACACACCGAUUUGAAUAUGCAGGGUAUGUACCCCUUGAAUGACCUUGAAUUUGUAAGAUUUUGAAUACAACUUUGUGAAACAAAAGUAAAUUCAUAUAUUUUGUCUGCAAAUUCCUAGCAUUUCCACAUAUAGUCCUAACAUAGACAUAUUCAUAACAUCUGUAUUUAAUGAGCUUGUAUAUAUUGUCUUGAUGCAUGCUAUAUAAACUUGUGAACAAAUUUUAUUAACUUCUAUUGUAAAUUGUAUGAAUUUUUAUACAAAAUGUCGUGAAUUUAAAUAUGAAACGUUACGAAUUCAAAGCAAUCUAAUAAGAUGCGUGCCGUACACACUUAAAUAGAAGUGGGUAUUGUAGCGCUUUCCUUUCAUGAAAAAUACAGGUCUAAAUAUGAGGUUAAGAGGUGCAUUCAACCAAAUAAAUAGUAAUGCACAUUGGAAAAGAGAAGCCGAGUAAAUAAAAACUGUUGCUGAAAAAGUGCAAGAAAGUUUAGGGUUUUCUCCCACUGAGGUAAAGGCGACUACAAGGCUUGAAAGGUGGGACUUGAUCAACUUACAAGAAAAUGCAUUCUUGGGGGGGCCAAAUUAGGUAUCAGAUCCAUGACCCCAUAUGCCCAUGAAUUUGAGUUAAUGUGGCCAAAACUGAUUUUCCAAACAACAGUUUCUAUUGUCUUUUUAAGAAAAGAUUUCAACAAACCAGAUCCUAGAAAAUUCAUGGGACAGCUUUGCAUUCACUGGCACUGUCUGCUUGGUUGUAUAAGUAGUAGUAGUAGUAGGCUUCACUGGAUCUAACAGAGGUUUUACAGCAAUGUUGGAUCCUUUGCAUUUGAGUAUAAAAUUGUAUCAGCCCAUAUGCUCUCUCUCUACUUGUCAUCUCAUCUUUCAAGUUGACAUAUGCUUUAAGUUAAAGGCGGUAUUUAUGCUCGUCGCGUUCUUUAUAUGGAAAUCCGAGUCUUCUUGCUGAUGGGAAAAUGUAUCUUAUUUAUGCAAAUAGAGUAAUCGAGUGAUUAUUAGAUCAUGCUAGAGUGACAUCUCAAUCCUCUUGCUCAUCUGAUAAGGAAAGAUAUCUAUAUCCACCUAAUCACUACAUCCUUUUCUGCACUUUCUUAUUGGCUAGAGGCACCAUCUACACGUGCCAUGGUAGUACUGCGAACUCUUGAAUACUCCUACUUUUUUGAAAUGAAGUUACAAUAAGAUAAUUAAGAUGAUGUACAACACGUUACACAACAUGCAUACGUGACACUAUCUCAUUGCACGUAUAUCAUGUGCAAGAUGACCCUCAACAUGUCGGAUAAAUUAGUAAAUAACAUACAGGUUAAUAAACUCCACGGAGUUAACUUGGUAGUUAAGGCCUAUGACUUGAAGGUUUGCUCCUCUCGAUCUAAUGAUUAUUCAUCCUUAUCAGGGUGCCAUUCGCACGUGCCACGAACUGAUCUGGACCACUGAAUAGUCGUCCAACCUAUAUUGGCUGUUUUUUUUUCCCUCAGUGAUAAUUUUAGGAUUUCUAUAUCCUGAAAGUUGGAAGUCUCACUUUUACAAUGCUUUACUUUUGAGUGUCAAACUCUUCAAUUGCAGUGGCACUGUUGGUUUAAAGCUAAACAUUUGAGAUCAUCAAGGAUUAAACUAAUGAUGAUGUUAUUAAUUUACUAAUAUUACCUACCACUCAUCCAAGUCAAAAAGGCCUGGAUUUGUUUGUUCUGAUAUGUUUAAAGUUUUGCUUUUGGGUACUAAUUA